RNAcentral lists this ribosomal RNA (492 nucleotides) under uncultured bacterium. RNAcentral describes it as "partial 16S ribosomal RNA". It matches the Rfam family "Bacterial small subunit ribosomal RNA", at positions 29 to 507 of the family's 1533-position model. The record is from RNAcentral.
AGUGAACGCUGGCGGUAUGCCUAACACAUGCAAGUCGAACGGCAGCACAGUAAGAGCUUGCUCUUACGGGUGGCGAGUGGCGGACGGGUGAGGCAUACAUCGGAAUCUACUUUUUCGUGGGGGAUAACGUAGGGAAACUUACGCUAAUACCGCAUACGACCUACGGGUGAAAUCAGGGGAUCUUCGCACCUUGCGCGAUUGAAUGAGCCGAUGUCGGAUUAGCUAGUUGGCGGGGUAAAGGCCCACCAAGGCGACGAUCCGUAGCUGAUCUGAGAGGAUGAUCGGCCACACUGGAACUGAGACACGGUCCAGACUCCUACGGGAGGCAGCAGUGGGGAAUAUUGGACAAUGGGCGCAAGCCUGAUCCAGCAAUACCGCGUGGGUGAAGAAGGCCUUCGGGUUGUAAAGCCCUUUUGUUGGGAAAGAAAAGCAGCAGGUUAAUACCCCGCUGUUCUGACGGUACCCAAAGAAUAAGCACCGGCUAACUACGUG